UACGGGGGAUGCAAGCGUUAUCCGGAAUCAUUGGGCGUAAAGCGCCUGUAGGUUGUUUAAUAAGUCUGUUGUUAAAGACUAGGGCUUAACCCUAGGAAAGCAAUGGAAACUACUAGACUAGAGUAUGGCAGGGGUAGAGGGAAUUUCUAGUGUAGCGGUGAAAUGCGUAGAUAUUAGAAAGAACACCGGUGGCGAAAGCGCUCUACUGGACCAUUACUGACACUCAGAGGCGAAAGCUAGGGUAGCAAAAGGGAUUAGAUACCCCUGUAGUCCUAGCCGUAAACGAUGGAUACUCGAUGUUGUGCAUUAUGUACAGUAUCUUAGCUAACGCGUUAAGUAUCCCGCCUGGGGAGUACGUUCGCAAGGAUG
Molecule: ribosomal RNA, 369 nt
Filed under: uncultured phototrophic eukaryote
Lineage: Eukaryota
Description: SSU rRNA
Rfam family: Bacterial small subunit ribosomal RNA
Source: RNAcentral